AACGAACGCUGGCGGCGUGCUUAACACAUGCAAGUCGAACGCGAAAUUUUUCUUCGGAAAGAAAGUAGAGUGGCGCACGGGUGAGUAACGCGUAAGUUAUCUACCUCGGCAUCUGGAAUAACUCACCGAAAGGUGUGCUAAUACCGGAUACGUUGAGUAAUCAAGAAAGGUGGCCUCUGAAUAUGCUACUGUGCUGAGAUGAGCUUGCGUACCAUUAGCUAGUUGGUAGGGUAAAGGCCUACCAAGGCGACGACGGUUAGCGGGUCUGAGAGGAUGAUCCGCCACACUGGAACUGGAACACGGACCAGACUCCUACGGGAGACAGCAGUGAGGAAUAUUGCGCAAUGGGGGCAACCCUGACGCAGCGACGCCGCGUGGAUGAUGAAGGCCUUCGGGUCGUAAAAUCCUGUCAAGUGGAAAGAAGUGCAUAGUGGUUAAUACCUGCUAUGUUUGACGGUACCACUGAAGGAAGCACCGGCUAACUCCGUGCCAGCAGCCGCAGUAAGAC
Molecule: ribosomal RNA, 508 nt
Filed under: uncultured bacterium
Lineage: Bacteria
Description: bacterial SSU rRNA
Rfam family: Bacterial small subunit ribosomal RNA
Source: RNAcentral